UACAUGCUUACAAAACACUUAUAUAUCAGGUCAUUUCAUAUUAAGGUUUUAGUAGAGGUUCUUGGUUAAAACAUUUAUUUAGUAGAAGACAUACACAUAGUCUCAGUGAGCCUCUGGUCUAGUGAAAGGUCAGAAGUGCAACAGGUGAAGAGGUGACACAGAGAGCAUGUGAGGUCGUGACACACACACAUGAGUUAGAUUUAUUUAGAGGAGAGAGAGAUUAGUCAUGUCUGGAUUGUAACGGAACCGUCCUUGUCUUCUCGGCAAGAAAGAGGAACUGAAAGGUUGACCGGAGGAAUCGGCCAUGAAAAUAGAAGAUGAUGUUCUGUCUUAAAAGUCAUUGUGGUGUUGAUUUGACGUAUGUAUAUAUCCUGUCUGUGA
Long non-coding RNA from Astatotilapia calliptera (eastern happy), 381 nucleotides. The record is from Ensembl. NCBI's taxonomy places the organism in Eukaryota, Metazoa, Chordata, Actinopteri, Cichliformes, Cichlidae.